Molecule: ribosomal RNA, 414 nt
Filed under: uncultured microorganism
Description: bacterial SSU rRNA
Rfam family: Bacterial small subunit ribosomal RNA
Source: RNAcentral
GAGUUUGAUCGUGGCUCAGAUUGAACGCUGGCGGCAUGCCUUACACAUGCAAGUCGAACGGCAGCAUGAUCUAGCUUGCUAGAUUGAUGGCGAGUGGCGAACGGGUGAGUAAUACAUCGGAACGUGCCCUGUAGUGGGGGAUAACUAGUCGAAAGAUUAGCUAAUACCGCAUACGACCUGAGGGUGAAAGUGGGGGACCGCAAGGCCUCAUGCUAUAGGAGCGGCCGAUGUCUGAUUAGCUAGUUGGUGGGGUAAAGGCCCACCAAGGCGACGAUCAGUAGCUGGUCUGAGAGGACGAUCAGCCACACUGGGACUGAGACACGGCCCAGACUCCUACGGGAGGCAGCAGUGGGGAAUCUUGGACAAUGGGCGAAAGCCUGAUCCAGCAAUGCCGCGUGUGUGAAGAAGGCCUGG